RNAcentral lists this ribosomal RNA (758 nucleotides) under Virgibacillus halodenitrificans. RNAcentral describes it as "bacterial SSU rRNA". It matches the Rfam family "Bacterial small subunit ribosomal RNA", at positions 38 to 780 of the family's 1533-position model. The record is from RNAcentral. Lineage: Bacteria; Bacillati; Bacillota; Bacilli; Caryophanales; Bacillaceae.
UGCAGUCGAGCGCGGGAAGCAAGCUGAUCCUCUUCGGAGGUGACGCUUGUGGAACGAGCGGCGGACGGGUGAGUAACACGUGGGCAACCUGCCUGUAAGACUGGGAUAACCCCGGGAAACCGGGGCUAAUACCGGAUAAUACUUUUCAUCACCUGAUGGAAAGUUGAAAGGUGGCUUUUAGCUACCACUUACAGAUGGGCCCGCGGCGCAUUAGCUAGUUGGUGAGGUAACGGCUCACCAAGGCAACGAUGCGUAGCCGACCUGAGAGGGUGAUCGGCCACACUGGGACUGAGACACGGCCCAGACUCCUACGGGAGGCAGCAGUAGGGAAUCUUCCGCAAUGGACGAAAGUCUGACGGAGCAACGCCGCGUGAGUGAUGAAGGUUUUCGGAUCGUAAAGCUCUGUUGUUAGGGAAGAACAAGUGCCGUUCGAAUAGGGCGGCACCUUGACGGUACCUAACCAGAAAGCCCCGGCUAACUACGUGCCAGCAGCCGCGGUAAUACGUAGGGGGCAAGCGUUGUCCGGAAUUAUUGGGCGUAAAGCGCGCGCAGGCGGUCCUUUAAGUCUGAUGUGAAAGCCCACGGCUCAACCGUGGAGGGUCAUUGGAAACUGGAGGACUUGAGUACAGAAUAGGAGAGUGGAAUUCCACGUGUAGCGGUGAAAUGCGUAGAGAUGUGGAGGAACACCAGUGGCGAAGGCGACUCUCUGGUCUGUAACUGACGCUGAGGCGCGAAAGCGUGGGGAGCGAACAGGAUUA